RNAcentral lists this ribosomal RNA (253 nucleotides) under uncultured bacterium. Its description in RNAcentral is "partial 16S ribosomal RNA". It matches the Rfam family "Bacterial small subunit ribosomal RNA", at positions 524 to 776 of the family's 1533-position model. The record is from RNAcentral.
UACGUAGGGGGCAAGCGUUGUCCGGAAUCAUUGGGCGUAAAGAGCGUGUAGGCGGCCCGAUAAGUCCGCUGUGAAAGUCCAGGGCUCAACCCUGGAAUGCCGGUGGAUACUGUCGGGCUCGAAUCCGGAAGAGGCGAGUGGAAUUCCUGGUGUAGCGGUGAAAUGCGCAGAUAUCAGGAGGAACACCAAUUGCGAAGGCAGCUCGCUGGGACGUAACUGACGCUGAGACGCGAAAGCGUGGGGAGCAAACAGG